This 253-nucleotide ribosomal RNA is filed under the name uncultured bacterium. RNAcentral describes it as "partial 16S ribosomal RNA". It matches the Rfam family "Bacterial small subunit ribosomal RNA", at positions 524 to 776 of the family's 1533-position model. The record is from RNAcentral.
UACGAAGGGAGCUAGCGUUGUUCGGAAUCACUGGGCGUAAAGCGCACGUAGGCGGAUGUGUCAGUCAGGGGUGAAAUCCCGGAGCUCAACUUCGGAACUGCCCUUGAUACAGCACGUCUUGAGUCCGGAAGAGGAGAGUGGAAUUCCUGGUGUAGCGGUGAAAUGCGCAGAUAUCAGGAAGAACACCUAUGGCGAAGGCAGCUCUCUGGGACGGUACUGACGCUGAGACGCGAAAGCGUGGGGAGCGAACAGG